Molecule: ribosomal RNA, 372 nt
Filed under: uncultured bacterium
Lineage: Bacteria
Description: bacterial SSU rRNA
Rfam family: Bacterial small subunit ribosomal RNA
Source: RNAcentral
AUUGAACGCUGGCGGCAUGCCUUACACAUGCAAGUCGAACGGCAGCACGGGAGCAAUCCUGGUGGCGAGUGGCGAACGGGUGAGUAAUACAUCGGAACGUGCCCAGUCGUGGGGGAUAACGUAGCGAAAGCUACGCUAAUACCGCAUACGAUCUGUGGAUGAAAGCGGGGGUCCGUAAGGCCUCGCGCGAUUGGAGCGGCCGAUGUCAGAUUAGGUAGUUGGUGGGGUAAAGGCCCACCAAGCCGACGAUCUGUAGCUGGUCUGAGAGGAUGAUCAGCCACACUGGAACUGAGACACGGUCCAGACUCCUACGGAGGCAGCAGUGGGGAAUAUUGGACAAUGGGCGGCAAGCCUGAUCCAGCCAUGCCGCGU